UAGAUGCGAGAGUAGAGCAUAUCAAUAAGCGGAGGAAAAGUCAACCUACGCUUAGGAUUUGACGAGACUGUCGAUCUCAUCUAUACAUGACUCUGUGCAUAUCAAUAAGCGGAGGAAAAGAAACUAACAAGGAUUCCCUUAGUAACGGCGAGUGAAGCGGGAAGAGCUCAAAUUUGAAAUCUUCAAGGUUCUACCUUGACGAAUUGUAGUUUAAAGAAGUGUUUUCUGUUGGAGUUUUGGUAAAAGUUCUUUGGAAUAGGACAUCAUAGAGGGUGAGAAUCCCGUAUUUGGUCAUUCCUCCUAGCGUUGUGAUACACUUUCAACGAGUCGGAUUGUUUGGGAAUGCAGUCCAAAAUGGGUGGUAAAUUUCAUCUAAAGCUAAAUAUUGGCGAGAGACCGAUAGCGAACAAGUACCGUGAGGGUAAGAUGAAAAGAACUUUGAAAAGAGAGUUAAACAGUACGUGAAAUUGUCAAAAGGGAAGCGUUUGACACCAGUGUUGUUUUUCCGAAAAUCAAUUACGAAUGUUUUGUUUUUGAGGAGUUAUGACUUCAUCGGCUUGCUCCUUUCUUUAUGAAACUUUCUUAAUGCACUUUUCGGUUAACAAGUCAACAUCAAUUUCUUUUGUUGUAAAAGGGUAUGAGGAAGGUGGCUUUCUUUUCGGAGAAAGUGUUUAUAGCCUUGUGCCUCUGCAAUCGGAGAGAUUGAGGUCUGCAGCGUAGAUCCUUCGGGGUUAGAUACGUUUGUGCUAAGUUAUAGCUUUUCAUAGACAACUUGUUGACUAUGUUUAGUCUUGUAGCUUACUCGCUGACGCUAUUUUACCUACGCUUAGGAUGUUGACGAGACUGUCGAUCUC
Molecule: ribosomal RNA, 854 nt
Filed under: uncultured Neocallimastigales
Lineage: Eukaryota; Fungi; Neocallimastigomycota; Neocallimastigomycetes; Neocallimastigales
Description: partial large subunit ribosomal RNA
Rfam family: Eukaryotic large subunit ribosomal RNA
Source: RNAcentral